This 139-nucleotide small nucleolar RNA is filed under the name Hordeum vulgare subsp. vulgare (domesticated barley). RNAcentral describes it as "Small nucleolar RNA Z247". It matches the Rfam family "Small nucleolar RNA Z247". Rfam says of the family: Z247 is a member of the C/D class of snoRNA which contain the C (UGAUGA) and D (CUGA) box motifs. Most of the members of the box C/D family function in directing site-specific 2'-O-methylation of substrate RNAs. The record is from Rfam by way of RNAcentral. Lineage: Eukaryota; Viridiplantae; Streptophyta; Magnoliopsida; Poales; Poaceae.
CCGCUUGGAGAUGACGAACUGAUCUCCUACAUCAUCGCUGGUCUCGAUCUCGAGUACCAGCCACUCAUCUCCGUGCUCGACGCCCGAACUGCUCCAGUCUCCCUCGACGACUUAUUUGCUCAAAUGAGCAACUUCGACC